AGGAUAAACGCUGGCGGCGUGCCUUAUGCAUGCAAGUCGAACGCACCGCAAGGUGAGUGGCGAACGGGUGAGUAACACGUAGGAACCUGCCUGAAAGUGGGGGAUAACCUUUCGAAAGAGGGGCUAAUACCGCAUGUGGUCUCCGGACCAAAGCUUCGGCGCUUUCAGAGGGGCCUGCGGCGGAUUAGCUUGUUGGUGGGGUAACGGCCUACCAAGGCGACGAUCCGUAGCUGGUCUGAGAGGAUGGUCAGCCACACUGGGACUGAGAUACGGCCCAGACUCCUACGGGAGGCAGCAGCAAGGAAUUUUGCGCAAUGGGCGAAAGCCUGACGCAGCAACGCCGCGUGGGGGAUGAAGGCCUUCGGGUUGUAACCCUUUUGCGAGGGAAGAAGAUCUGACGGUACCUCGCGAAUAAGCCACGGCUAACUACGUGCCAGCAGCCGC
Molecule: ribosomal RNA, 444 nt
Filed under: uncultured bacterium
Lineage: Bacteria
Description: SSU rRNA
Rfam family: Bacterial small subunit ribosomal RNA
Source: RNAcentral